Molecule: long non-coding RNA, 483 nt
Organism: Mastomys coucha (southern multimammate mouse)
Lineage: Eukaryota; Metazoa; Chordata; Mammalia; Rodentia; Muridae
Exons: 3
Source: RefSeq, a predicted model, not a curated record
CUUGUAGUGUUUCACCAUGUCUCAGUGACUCUCACUGUUUGUUUAGAUGAUUUGGCGGCGGCAGCAGUGGCGGCGGCGGCAGCAGCAGCAGCAGAGGCAGAGGCAGCAGCAGCAGCAGCAGCAGCAGAUGUGACUAGUGUAUUCAACAAGCAUGCAAUCAAGAGUGCUACUUCCCUCUCAGGGAAUGCAGAGCAGUGAGAAAAGCCCAGCAGGUCAUAAUAACUCCAACCCAUUGGCUACAUGUGGACCACAUGGAGCCCAACAUCACUGGAUACAUCUACAACACAAGUCCUGUACCUAAGGCUCAGCCUGUCUCACUGGAGAGCCUUCAGAAGCCGUCAUCAGACAUGGUGCAUCUACACCCUUCAUCCCUCCUGCAGGACCUGCCCAACACUCUCCUUGAACAAGUGACACUCUUUUCAGUCAUUACAGAUUUUCCUGUAAGCAGGUAUUCAUUAAUAAAACUCUUCCUUUGUCGAGAUU